CCUACGGGUGGCAGCAGUGAGGAAUAUUGGUCAAUGGGCGCAAGCCUGAACCAGCCAAGUCGCGUGAAGGAUGAAGGCUCUAUGGAUCGUAAACCUCUUUUAUAAGGGAGUAAAGUGUGGGACGUGUCCUGUUUUGUAUGUACCUUAUGAAUAAGGAUCGGCUAACUCCGUGCCAGCAGCCGCGGUAAUACGGAGGAUCCGAGCGUUAUCCGGAUUUAUUGGGUUUAAGGGGCGCGUAGCCGGGAUUUCAAGUCAGCGGGGAAAGUCUGCGGCUCAACCGUAGAAUUGCAGUUGAAACUGGGUGUCUUGAGUACGGUAGAGGUAGGCGGAAUGCGUGGUGUAGCGGUGAAAUGCGUAGAUAUAACGAAGAACCCCGAUUGCGAAGGCAGCUGACUAAACCGCGACUGACGCUGAGGCACGAAAGCGUGGGGAUCAAACAGGAUUAGAUACCCUUGUAGUC
RNAcentral lists this ribosomal RNA (460 nucleotides) under uncultured bacterium. Its description in RNAcentral is "partial 16S ribosomal RNA". It matches the Rfam family "Bacterial small subunit ribosomal RNA", at positions 338 to 795 of the family's 1533-position model. The record is from RNAcentral.